UGCUUCAAGUUUCAGCUCAGAUGGCAUU
Molecule: non-coding RNA, 28 nt
Filed under: Mus musculus (house mouse)
Lineage: Eukaryota; Metazoa; Chordata; Mammalia; Rodentia; Muridae
Source: RNAcentral